GUGCUUGCUUUGCAGCACAUACACUAAAAUUGGAAUGAUACAGGGAAGAUUAAUUAGCAUGGCCCCUGAGUAAGGAUGACACGCAAAUUUGUGAAGUGUUCUGUAUUUUU
RNAcentral lists this small nuclear RNA (110 nucleotides) under Prolemur simus (greater bamboo lemur). The record is from RNAcentral. Lineage: Eukaryota; Metazoa; Chordata; Mammalia; Primates; Lemuridae.